CACAGUGUAUUAUUAUUUUUAUAGCGAUACAAAAAUAGAUAUGUAAAGCGUUAUCAUUUCAUGAACUCGAUACGAUCUUAAAAAUUCUGAGUGUACAAAAGAAACAAUGAGAAUGGGUAAUAACCGAUUUAUCUUAUUACACUAGAAACCAGACUAGACGAUUUAAUCAGAAUUCUGAAGAAUAGAUUAUGGUUUAUUUAACUUGACACGUCUGUAUAGAACUUACUGGCAUUUUCAAGGUUUCAUCUUUCAUAAUUUACCAAUAAUAUACCGUUACUAAAACAUUGGAUGUGUUCAAUCUCAGACAGAUAUGGUUUCCGGAUACCUUUUUGUUAGAUGUCAAAAAAGGAAUCCAAAGGCAUCCAAGAAUUUCUGGGCCUUAUGUAUCUGUCGGGAAAUGUUCUGUACAUAACAGACGAUGAAGAAGCUAUUUCCCUCCGAAUUUUAGAAGGUAAUUAUGAUCCAGCUCCGAGACCAAAAAACCCGGCGAAGAACAAUUCUUAAAGAAAAAAUGAAUAAGAAAUAAAAUAAAAAAAUAUAAAUAAGAUUAAAUGUUUCUCUGCUUUUGGUGAACAGGUGAAAGUUA
Long non-coding RNA from Eupeodes corollae, 586 nucleotides. RefSeq lists it as uncharacterized. The transcript has 3 exons. The record is from RefSeq and is a predicted model, not a curated record. NCBI's taxonomy places the organism in Eukaryota, Metazoa, Arthropoda, Insecta, Diptera, Syrphidae.